This 382-nucleotide long non-coding RNA is filed under the name Olea europaea (common olive). Its description in RNAcentral is "long non-coding RNA (OEUR_LNC002578)". Lineage: Eukaryota; Viridiplantae; Streptophyta; Magnoliopsida; Lamiales; Oleaceae. The record is from RNAcentral.
AUGGUCUCACUCUAUUCAAAACAAGUUUAGAUUUAGUUGUAUCCUAAUCAACCAAGCAUCGAUUUCAUUCCGCCGACCGAGCUCGACGGGAUUCCCAUUUUAAAUGAAAGACAAGUACAAUGAAAACCCCCCAAAACCUUCCUACGAGGUCAAUUGAGAAUAUUACAACUGCCAAAAAAAAAAAAAAAAAAAAAAAAACCCCCCCCCCCCCCCCCCCAAAACCUUCCUACGAGGUCAAUUGAGAAUAUUACAACUGCCAAAAUCUCUUAUGAAUAUGAUCAUCAGCUUUAAAACACGGAACAAAGCUGUAUGCCUGUAUACAAGUGUGAAAAACGCCAUCUUACUUCGAUUGACUUAAAUCUUCGAGAUUGAUUCCAGAUAA